This 496-nucleotide ribosomal RNA is filed under the name uncultured bacterium. RNAcentral's name for it is "partial 16S ribosomal RNA". It matches the Rfam family "Bacterial small subunit ribosomal RNA", at positions 28 to 507 of the family's 1533-position model. The record is from RNAcentral.
GAUGAACGCUGGCGGCGUGCCUAAUACAUGCAAGUCGAACGCAUAGCGAAAGGUGCUUGCACCUUUCAAGUGAGUGGCGAACGGGUGAGUAACACGUGGACAACCUGCCUCAAGGCUGGGGAUAACAUUUGGAAACAGAUGCUAAUACCGAAUAAAACUUAGUGUGCAUUACACAAAAGUUAAAGGCGGUUUUGCGGUAACUUAAGGAGGAACCCGCGGGGAAUUAGUUGUUUGGUGGGGUAAAGGCUUCCCAAGACAAGGAUGCAUAGCCGAGUGGAGAGACUGAUCGGCCACAUUGGGACUGAGACACGGCCCAAACUCUACGGGAGGCUGCAGUAGGGAAUCUUCCACAAUGGGCGAAAGCCUGAUGGAGCAACGCCGCGUGUGUGAUGAAGGCUUUCGGGUCGUAAAGCACUGUUGUAUGGGAAGAACAGCUAGAAUAGGAAAUGAUUUUAGUUUGACGGUACCAUACCAGAAAGGGACGGCUAAAUACGUG